UACGAAGGGGGCUAGCGUUACUCGGAUUGACUGGGCGUAAAGGGCGCGUAGGCGGUUUGUACAGUCAGACGUGAAAUUCCUGGGCUCAACCUGGGGGCUGCGUUUGAUACGUGCGGACUUGAGUUCGGAAGAGGGUCGUGGAAUUCCCAGUGUAGAGGUGAAAUUCGUAGAUAUUGGGAAGAACAUCAGUGGCGAAGGCGGUCUGCUGGGCCGUUGC
RNAcentral lists this ribosomal RNA (217 nucleotides) under uncultured bacterium. RNAcentral's name for it is "partial 16S ribosomal RNA". It matches the Rfam family "Bacterial small subunit ribosomal RNA", at positions 524 to 740 of the family's 1533-position model. The record is from RNAcentral.